CCCCGGAAGUGGUCGCAGUCGGCCCGGAAGUAGAAACCGCAGCGCGGCGUCCCCUUCGGGCGCACCUGAGAGGGUUGGUUCCUGGGCGGGCGUUUCCUCUGUGAGAGAGACCUCAGGUGACCGUGGUUCAAACCAAACCGACGGACUUAGCUCUUUACCCCACGCCCCUGGCGCCGAAGGAAGACUGCGGAUCUGCAGGCGCUGCCCGCGGCGGCCUGUGUGCGCCCCACGCGGGGGAAGCCACGGCUUCCUCCAGGGAUCCCGUCCCUCGCGCCUCGGCGCCCAGGGCAUCGCCCUCUCCAGCUUUUGAGUCCUGUGGAUUAUGGCGCGGUUUGGAAUGGCUCGCUGCUUCUGGGAUUUGGAGUUCUAGCCGAUUGAACUGCAGCCGACUGCUUGGCCACGCUCAAGACCUUAAGCCACCUUUAGAUUGUCUGCUGUCAACUGGCGGUUGUUGGCAUCCGUUCAACUCCAAUAGCAAACCCCAAUGUGGGGUACAGGGAAGGAGAAUUUAUUCAAAGCAGCCCAAAUGCCGGACAGCACAGGGGAGGAACAGCAGGGCCGUGAGGCAGGUCAGGUGUGAGGCAGCCCAGUGGUCCAGCCUGGCCCCUCUCUGGCCAGACAGCCAGACUCUGCUCAUCCACUCUGGCCUGGCCCAGCCGGCCAUCUUCCCUGGUACAGCUCCAGCAGGAAAACACAAUCUUUGGUAGACAAGGAGAGCCCAUUCCCUGAGUCAGAGAGAAUCUGACUUCCAGAGCAGGAAGUGCUCCCUCCCUUGGGCAAAUGAGGACUCCUCAUCCUCAGUUUGAUUGGUACAAACAAAAUAAAACAAACACUGCCCUGAUUUGGCCUAAUGGAGGCACCUGAUUGGUCAAUGAAAAUGCUGAUGGGACUACAGCUGUGCAGCUCCCAGUGCAUGGAAAAAGCCUCAGUCCUAUUGGUUGAAAUAGGAUUCCAGGAAUUCCUUUAGAAGGGUUGGCUCAGAUGGCCAGCGGGCAGUUUAGUGCAGGCUGCUCCCUCCCGGAAGUGUAGCCUGUGUGAAAGGCCCCUGUUUGGCAAGGCUGCUAGGCCCUGAUUUUACAUUUGGCCAAAUUGGCCACCAAGAGCCCUUUUUAGUAAUUUUUUUCUUGGAGUCAGUAGUUGUCUGUCACAGAUUAAGUUUAAAAACAGGACUUCUUAUCCAACCUGGCAGAAUGGGUCUUCACAUUUGGGGGCACAGUGUUGGAAUUUGGACAUGAGAAAGACCUGAGCACUGAUCCUAGCUCAAUCCCUCACUAGGUGUGAGACCUUGGGCUGAUUACCUAACCUUUUUCCAGUGUGUAUCUCUUGUUUGUAAAAUGACUAAUAGUAAAGGCUUCUCUGGAAGACUUCA
This is a long non-coding RNA of Pipistrellus kuhlii (Kuhl's pipistrelle), 1369 nucleotides long. RefSeq lists it as uncharacterized. Lineage: Eukaryota; Metazoa; Chordata; Mammalia; Chiroptera; Vespertilionidae. The record is from RefSeq and is a predicted model, not a curated record. The transcript has 2 exons.